UGGUGGAGUGAUUUGUCUGGUUAAUUCCGAUAACGAACGAGACUUCGGCUUAUUAAAUAGCACAGACAAGCUUCUGAUUGGGUGAAGUAGUUGUGUCUGAUCGAUGCGGGAAACUGCGUUGUGAAGCACUUCUAUGGAACCUUGAUGACUUGGCUGUAAUUCACGCUUCUUAAAAGGACUAUUGGCGUUUAGUCAAUGGAAGUGAGGCAAUAACA
This 215-nucleotide ribosomal RNA is filed under the name uncultured eukaryote. Its description in RNAcentral is "partial 18S ribosomal RNA". It matches the Rfam family "Eukaryotic small subunit ribosomal RNA", at positions 1299 to 1458 of the family's 1831-position model. The record is from RNAcentral.